GAUGAACGCUAGCUACAGGCUUAACACAUGCAAGUCGAGGGACCGGCGCACGGGUGAGUAACACGUAUCCACCCUGCCAUUUACUCGGGGAUAGCCUUUCGAAAGAAAGAUUAAUACCCGCUAUAAAGGAUGGGGAUGCGUUCCAUUAGGUUGUUGGUGAGGUAACGGCCCACCGAGCCUUCGAUGGAUAGGGGUUCUGAGAGGAAGGUCCCCCACAUUGGAACUGAUACACGGUACAAACUCCUACGCGAGGCAGAAGUGAGGAAGAUUGGUCAAUGUGCGUUAGCCUGAACCAUCCAAGUAGCGUUAAGGAAGCAGGUUUAUGGGUCGUAAACUUCUUUUAUAUAAGAAUAUGUAUUAUAUGAAUAAGGAUCGGCUAACUCCGUGCCAGCAGCCGCGGUAAUAC
Molecule: ribosomal RNA, 406 nt
Filed under: uncultured bacterium
Lineage: Bacteria
Description: partial 16S ribosomal RNA
Rfam family: Bacterial small subunit ribosomal RNA
Source: RNAcentral